CGCAUGUCCUAUACAUGAUAUCUAUUGCCCAAAUAGGUAAAUAAAUUCAUAUAAGCAUGUUUUCUACCCAUUACUUAAACUAAACAUGCAUAACCCCCUCCUAUAUUCACUAUUCAACCCCAAUCAUUUGUUAAAAAAUUAUUACAAACCAAGGAUAGCCGAAUUACAGUAAUAAAGAAUUAAAAAAGAAAUUAUUCUAUAGGGAGCCUUUAGUCAGGCCUAAUCUUCCAACCUCACUCCUUUCAAGUUUCACAGCCUUUGCCAUGGUCUGGGUGCGACAAUGCUCCCUAAAUCCCCCUUCGGUCCCUAGCCAAUAUCAGUAUUCAAACACUUACCAAACAUGUUGAAUAAGUGCAGUCUGGAAUUACCAGUCUUGCGCAUCAAAGUUCAGUGAGUACUCAGAGGUACCCAAAGAAAUGCUUACACGAAGAGGGUAGAACCUAAUCUAUAAGAGUAGUGAAAGUGUGUGAUAUUGUUUUAAAGAAUUUGAGUUGAUAUAAACAGUUUGAAAAUGAUCCAUAUAGAAUCAGUUCUUGAAAGAAAACAGUAGAAGAGUGUGACAGUUUUGUAAGAAGGUGAGUAGGACAAUCUCAAAACUAGAAUAUCACACAUAGUUCAGGAAAGCAAACACAAACAGGGGAACGGGGAAAUUGGACAAGUAGUUCACAUGUAAGAGGUGAGUAAGACAAUCUCAGAACUACAAUAUCACACAUAGCUCAGCGAAGAAAACACAAACAGAGGAAAGGGGAAAUGGGACAAGUAGUUUACAUGUAAGAGCAUAGUUGCACAUACAUAGACAUCAGAGAAGGCAUUUCAGGACUUAAACAGUCAUAACACAUUUCAUCCAAAAAUAUUCAUGGAAGAGGUUCAGGAUUACUUGGUAGCUAGAAAGGGUCAUGAAUACAUGCUGAUAAUGUACUGGGGUUAGGGAGUAAGAAAGAACUAUAUUAAACAAGUAAGAGAAGUAGUAGGCAUGCUGAAUUAAGGGAAAGGUAAUCACAUCAAUGAACUAACAAAGUAAGGAUGAACUGCAUUAAACAAGUAAGAGAAGCAGUAGACAUGCUAAAUUAAGGGAAGGGUAAUCACAUCAAUGAACUAGCAAAGAGGCACACUAAUUGCAAUGUAAACAAAAAAACCAAAAGUAUAAGCAUAAAAGAAAUAAGAGAAAGUGCAAUAUGCAUAAAAACAUGUUGUUUGGAGGUUGCAAAUCAAAUAGAAGACAUACCAGUCAAGAGUAAGAUAAUAGAGCGGUAGUGUGCAGUGAAGUAAAGCAGUAAUGUGUAGACCAAGAGGGAAGCAAUGUAUAGAGCGAUAAAAUAGUAGAGUAACAAAUAAUUCAGUCUUGGCUUUUAGCCAACUGGGUAACAAGUAGUCAAGAAGAGAAGAGAGAGAAAAUGUGCAGGAAAGUAAGAGAGAACAGUGGGUCUGCUUGUGUGUGUGUAAGAGAGAGUUCAGAACAUUGUAAUUGUUCAUCUCAUGCAAAAGAGAGGGUAGACUAUUUAUACUUUUGAAAACUAGUAGAGAAUAGGGUAACAAGUACUAACAUGACACAAUUAUAAAAACAAUACCAAUUGGAAUCAAUUACAGGACCAAACUCGUUUUAAUUAGGGAGUCAUGAUUCAAAUGGGUACAAGUUAUAUCAGAUAAAGCAAAGAAUCACUUAGACUACUGAAUCAACCAUAAUAGGAGUCGCAUAGCAUGUAGCAUUUUCUAUAAGGGCCAAAUACAUAACAUUUCAAAUAAGGAAAAUAUAUACUGGAUAUUUAAAAGUAUGUUUAUGCGCAUAAAUAUGUUAAAAAUAUAAAUUAACUCUGAAAAUUAGUCAAAGAAUCACAGAUGAGACUAAAAUCACAAGGAAUUAGUUCUAAGUAAGGAAAGCAUCUCACAAAUAAGGAAGUUAUUCAAAAUCAGUAAAAAACUUCUAAGGAAAACUUAUACAAAAUCAGGGAUUUGAAGAGAUGAAUAGAAUCAGCAGAAUAUUUAGUAAACAAUGAAUAAUUAGGCAUAAUAAGCAUAAUAAACAUGAAAAUAAUAGAACCCUAAGUAUUAAAUCACAGAAACAAUAGAAGGUUGGAACCCUAACAACGAUAUUAAAGCAUAGAACUCGGAGAACAAUUAUAAGAAAAACAUAUACAAAAUUAGGGAUUCGAAGAGACGCACAAAAUCAGUAAAAUAUUGGUAAACAAUGAAUAAUUAGACAUAUUAAACACAAUAUGCUCGAAAAUCAGAGAGCCCUAAGCAAGAAAUCACAGAAUUAGUAGAAGGCUAGAACCCUAACAACCAGAUUAAAGCAUAGAACUCGAAGAAUAACCUAGAAUAUCACAAAAGACAAACAUAUAGUACUCAAAAAUCAGAAAAUAAAGUGAUUUCAAAAUGGGUUCAGAAACCCUAGUUUCAAAAAGGGAACAAAACGUGUAGAACUUUAGCAAUCGUAAAGAUCGGGUAGAGAGUAGUGAAAAACAUAAAGGCGUGAGAUAAAAUCGUUAAAAAAUACAAAGAUUUAAGAGGUCAGGGUUGACAUUAGGGUUUCAUAAGAAAACAGUGAGAAGUAAGAGAAACCUGGCUAUGAAACUCAGCAAUAACGGUGUUCAUGAACCAUCGGACCAAAACCUUUCGGAGAAGGGCCCAAAACAAAGGUAGGUGAAGCUUCAGUGACUAUCUUGUAUGGCAGAGACUCAUGGGAUCUCAGGAUGGAGAGAAUCGACGAGAUAAGGUUUCACGACGGCUAGUGGUCGAAAGAGGUGAGGCUGGAGGUGGCCGGAGAGAUGGUGAAGGCUAUCGGAGAAAACUAGAAGGUUCUAGAGAGAAUGAGGAAGGGAAGAGACCAAGUAGAGAGAGAGACUGG
This 2845-nucleotide long non-coding RNA is filed under the name Nicotiana benthamiana. RNAcentral's name for it is "long non-coding RNA (NBEN_LNC031616)". The record is from RNAcentral. Lineage: Eukaryota; Viridiplantae; Streptophyta; Magnoliopsida; Solanales; Solanaceae.